This 400-nucleotide ribosomal RNA is filed under the name uncultured bacterium. RNAcentral describes it as "bacterial SSU rRNA". It matches the Rfam family "Bacterial small subunit ribosomal RNA", at positions 355 to 772 of the family's 1533-position model. The record is from RNAcentral.
UGGGGAAUAUUGGACAAUGGGGGCAACCCUGAUCCAGCAAUGCCGCGUGAGUGAUGAAGGCCUUCGGGUUGUAAAGCUCUUUCACCCACGACGAUGAUGACGGUAGUGGGAGAAGAAGCCCCGGCUAACUUCGUGCCAGCAGCCGCGGUAAUACGAAGGGGGCUAGCGUUGUUCGGAGUUACUGGGCGUAAAGGGCGCGUAGGCGGCCCGAUCAGUCUGGUGUGAAAGCCCGGGGCUCAACCCCGGAAUUGCACUGGAGACGGUCGAGCUUGAGUGUGGGAGAGGAUGGUGGAAUUCCCAGUGUAGAGGUGAAAUUCGUAGAUAUUGGGAAGAACACCGGUGGCGAAGGCGGCCAUCUGGACCAUUACUGACGCUGAGGCGCGAAAGCGUGGGGAGCAAA